Molecule: ribosomal RNA, 406 nt
Filed under: uncultured bacterium
Lineage: Bacteria
Description: bacterial SSU rRNA
Rfam family: Bacterial small subunit ribosomal RNA
Source: RNAcentral
GAUGAACGCUGGCGGCGUGCUUAACACAUGCAAGUCGAACGAAGAUGCCGGAGUGCUUGCACUUUGGCAGACUGAGUGGCGGACGGGUGAGUAACGCGUGGGUAACCUGCCUUAUACAGGGGGAUAACAGUUGGAAACGACUGCUAAUACCGCAUAAGCGCACGGUAUCGCAUGAUACAGUGUGAAAAACUCCGGUGGUGUGAGAUGGACCCGCGUCUGAUUAGCCAGUUGGCGGGGUAACGGCCCACCAAAGCGACGAUCAGUAGCCGGCCUGAGAGGGUGAACGGCCACAUUGGGACUGAGACACGGCCCAAACUCCUACGGGAGGCAGCAGUAGGGAAUUUUGCGCAAUGGGCGAAAGCCUGACGCAGCAACGCCGCGUGUGUGAUGACGCCCUUCGGGGUGU